UUCACCACCUUGGAAUGUCCACUAGUAACAGGAACACAGAGAAGCAAAGAGUCAGAGCGACCCCUGACCUGCCAUGCAGUGUGUCCCUCAGGAGAAGGCAAGGGGGAAAGAACAAGUCCAAGGGAUUACACCCACAUUCUCAGCAUCUUCGGACUGGACAAACUGAAUGGCAACAUGAAGAAAACGACGAAUCUUCAGCCAAUAUUUGGAAUAGUGGAUACAUCUACUGG
This 230-nucleotide long non-coding RNA is filed under the name Homo sapiens (human). Its description in RNAcentral is "HSALNT0231944". The record is from RNAcentral. Lineage: Eukaryota; Metazoa; Chordata; Mammalia; Primates; Hominidae.